This 541-nucleotide ribosomal RNA is filed under the name Dardanus gemmatus. RNAcentral's name for it is "partial 16S ribosomal RNA". It matches the Rfam family "Bacterial large subunit ribosomal RNA", at positions 1819 to 2625 of the family's 2925-position model. Lineage: Eukaryota; Metazoa; Arthropoda; Malacostraca; Decapoda; Diogenidae. The record is from RNAcentral.
GUCUCCUUGCAGAUAUAAGGAGUCUGACCUGCCCACUGAAUUAUUAAAGGGCCGCGGUAUUUCUGACCGUGCGAAGGUAGCAUAAUCAUUAGUCUUUUAAUUGAAGGCUUGUAUGAAUGGUUGGACGAGAGAAAAACUGUCUCAGUUAAAAACAUGAACUUAACUUUUAAGUGAAAAGGCUUAAAUAUUUUGAAAAGACGAUAAGACCCUAUAAAUCUUAAUAUUAAUGCAAGUUAAUUUUUUAACUUAUAUUAAAAUAAAAAUAUUAGUUUGUUAAUAUUGUGUUGGGGCGACAAAAAUAUACAAUACACACCUGUUUUAAUUUUAAUACAAUUAUUUUUGACCUUAAAAGAUCCUUAAUAAAGAUUAAAAGAUCAAGUUACUUUAGGGAUAACAGCGUUAUUUUCUUUGAGAGUUCAUAUCGAAAAGAAAGUUUGCGACCUCGAUGUUGAAUUAAAAUUUCUCUAUGGUGCAGCCGCUAUAGAAGAAAGUCUGUUCGACUUUUAAAUUUUUACAUGAUUUGAGUUCAAACCGGCGUAAG